AUUGCCCUAGUAACGGCGAGUGAAGCGGCAACAGCUCAAAUUUGAAAUCUGGCCCUCGGGUCCGAGUUGUAAUUUGUAGAGGAUGCUUUUGGUGAGGUACCUUCCGAGUUCCCUGGAACGGGACGCCAUAGAGGGUGAGAGCCCCGUCUGGUUGGAUACCGAUCCUCUGUAAAGCUCCUUCGACGAGUCGAGUAGUUUGGGAAUGCUGCUCUAAAUGGGAGGUAUAUGUCUUCUAAAGCUAAAUAUUGGCCAGAGACCGAUAGCGCACAAGUAGAGUGAUCGAAAGAUGAAAAGCACUUUGAAAAGAGAGUUAAAAAGUACGUGAAAUUGUUGAAAGGGAAGCGCUCAUGACCAGACUUGGGCUUGGUUGAUCAUCCAGGGUUCUCCCUGGUGCACUCUUCCAGCUCAGGCCAGCAUCAGUUCGCCGCGGGGGAUAAAGGCUUUGGGAAUGUGGCUCCUCCGGGAGUGUUAUAGCCCACUGCGUAAUACCCUGUAGUGGACUGAGGUUCGCGCAUCUGCAAGGAUGCUGGCGUAAUGGUCAUCAGCGACCCGUCUUGAAACACGGACCAAGGAGUCGUCUUCGUAUGCGAGUGUUCGGGUGUUAAACCCCUACGCGUAAUGAAAGUGAACGCAGGUGAGAGCUUCGGCGCAUCAUCGACCGAUCCUGAUGUUCUCGGAUGGAUUUGAGUAAGAGCAUACGGGGCCGGACCCGAAAGAAGGUGAACUAUGCCUGUAUAGGGUGAAGCCAGAGGAAACUCUGGUGGAGGCUCGCAGCGGUUCUGACGUGCAAAUCGAUCGUCAAAUAUGGGCAUGGGGGCGAAAGACUAAU
This 829-nucleotide ribosomal RNA is filed under the name Ilyonectria liriodendri. Its description in RNAcentral is "eukaryotic LSU rRNA". It matches the Rfam family "Eukaryotic large subunit ribosomal RNA", at positions 74 to 935 of the family's 3401-position model. The record is from RNAcentral. Lineage: Eukaryota; Fungi; Ascomycota; Sordariomycetes; Hypocreales; Nectriaceae.